This 74-nucleotide transfer RNA is filed under the name Pachydactylus parascutatus. Its description in RNAcentral is "tRNA-Asn". The record is from RNAcentral. Lineage: Eukaryota; Metazoa; Chordata; Lepidosauria; Squamata; Gekkonidae.
UAAGCUAAAGUCCGCUGGAUUUAGACGUUUAGUUGUUAACUAAAAUUUCGUGGGAUUAAGGCCCUCUAGCUUAG